GGAUAACCGUGGUAAUUCUAGAGCUAAUACAUGCUAAAAACCCCGACUCACGAAGGGGUGUAUUUAUUAGAUUAAAAACCAAUGCCCUUCGGGGCUCUUUGGUGAUUCAUAAUAACUUUUCGAAUCGCAUGGCCUUGCGCCGGCGAUGGUUCAUUCAAAUUUCUGCCCUAUCAACUUUCGAUGGCAGGGUCUUGGCCUGCCAUGGUUACAACGGGUAACGGAGGGUUAGGGCUCGACCCCGGAGAAGGAGCCUGAGAAACGGCUACUACAUCCAAGGAAGGCAGCAGGCGCGCAAAUUACCCAAUCCCGAUUCGGGGAGGUAGUGACAAUAAAUACUGAUACAGGGCUCUUUUGGGUCUUGUAAUUGGAAUGAGUACAAUUUAAAUCCCUUAACGAGGAACAAUUGGAGGGCAAGUCUGGUGCCAGCAGCCGCGGUAAUUCCAGCUCCAAUAGCGUAUAUUAAAGUUGUUGCAGUUAAAAAGCUCGUAGUUGAACCUUGGGCCUGGCUGGCCGGUCCGCCUCACCGCGUGCACUGGUUCGGCCGGGCCUUUCCCUCUGGGGAACCUCAUGGUCUUCACUGAUCGUGAUGGGGAACCAGGACUUUUACUGUGAAAAAAUUAGAGUGUUCAAAGCAGGCCUAUGCUCGAAUACAUUAGCAUGGAAUAAUAAAAUAGGACGUGUGGUUCUAUUUUGUUGGUUUCUAGGACCGCCGUAAUGAUUAAUAGGGACAGUCGGGGGCAUCA
This 743-nucleotide ribosomal RNA is filed under the name Pestalotiopsis microspora. RNAcentral describes it as "SSU rRNA". It matches the Rfam family "Eukaryotic small subunit ribosomal RNA", at positions 141 to 893 of the family's 1831-position model. The record is from RNAcentral. Lineage: Eukaryota; Fungi; Ascomycota; Sordariomycetes; Amphisphaeriales; Sporocadaceae.